AGCGAACAGAAGGGAGCUUGCUCCCGGAUGUUAGCGGCGGACGGGUGAGUAACACGUGGGUAACCUGCCUGUAAGACUGGGAUAACUCCGGGAAACCGGAGCUAAUACCGGAUAGUUCCUUGAACCGCAUGGUUCAAGGAUGAAAGACGGUUUCGGCUGUCACUUACAGAUGGACCCGCGGCGCAUUAGCUAGUUGGUGGGGUAAUGGCUCACCAAGGCGACGAUGCGUAGCCGACCUGAGAGGGUGAUCGGCCACACUGGGACUGAGACACGGCCCAGACUCCUACGGGAGGCAGCAGUAGGGAAUCUUCCGCAAUGGACGAAAGUCUGACGGAGCAACGCCGCGUGAGUGAUGAAGGUUUUCGGAUCGUAAAGCUCUGUUGUUAGGGAAGAACAAGUGCGAGAGUAACUGCUCGCACCUUGACGGUACCUAACCAGAAAGCCACGGCUAACUACGUGCCAGCAGCCGCGGUAAUACGUAGGUGGCAAGCGUUGUCCGGAAUUAUUGGGCGUAAAGGGCUCGCAGGCGGUUUCUUAAGUCUGAUGUGAAAGCCCCCGGCUCAACCGGGGAGGGUCAUUGGAAACUGGGAAACUUGAGUGCAGAAGAGGAGAGUGGAAUUCCACGUGUAGCGGUGAAAUGCGUAGAGAUGUGGAG
RNAcentral lists this ribosomal RNA (655 nucleotides) under Bacillus safensis. RNAcentral describes it as "bacterial SSU rRNA". It matches the Rfam family "Bacterial small subunit ribosomal RNA", at positions 65 to 703 of the family's 1533-position model. Lineage: Bacteria; Bacillati; Bacillota; Bacilli; Caryophanales; Bacillaceae. The record is from RNAcentral.